RNAcentral lists this unclassified non-coding RNA (232 nucleotides) under Hevea brasiliensis (rubber tree). The record is from RNAcentral. Lineage: Eukaryota; Viridiplantae; Streptophyta; Magnoliopsida; Malpighiales; Euphorbiaceae.
GAGAUUUCAUCAUACAACAAUCCUACCCAAAAUGCUGGCAAUGCACACAAUCUCCUCCAAGGCCCUCCAUCAGCACCCCUCAUUUCCAAGUAUCGCUUCAAUCUGACCUCAGGAAAAAUUGUUGUUAAGUGAUUCUCCCAAUCAUCAAGGGUUGGCAAUUCACCAGGAAUGCAAGGAAGUUUUCCAGCCAUAAAGUCCCUGAAUGACAUUCCAGUGCAGUCAAUAUACUUCU